Molecule: ribosomal RNA, 406 nt
Filed under: uncultured bacterium
Lineage: Bacteria
Description: partial 16S ribosomal RNA
Rfam family: Bacterial small subunit ribosomal RNA
Source: RNAcentral
AUUGAACGCUGGCGGCAGGCCUAACACAUGCAAGUCGAACGAGUGGCGGACGGGUGAGUAAUGUCUGGGCAACUGCCUGAUGGAGGGGGCUAACUACUGUAAACGGUAGCUAAUACCGCAUACCAUCGGAUGUGCCCAGAUGGGAUUAGCUAGGAGGUGGGGUACAGGCUCACCUAGGCGACGAUCCCUAGCUGGUCUGAGAGGAUGACCAGCCACACGGGAACUGAGAAACGGUCCAGACGCCUACGGGAGGCAGCAGUGGGGAAUAUGGCACAAUGGGCGCAAGCCUGAUGCAGCCAUGCCGCGGGUAGGAAGAAGGCCUUCGGGUUUUAAAGUACUUUAAGCGGGGAGGCGUUACCCGCAGAAGAAGCACCGGCUAACUCCGUGCCAGCAGCCGCGGUAAUUC